RNAcentral lists this long non-coding RNA (509 nucleotides) under Elaeis guineensis (African oil palm). RNAcentral describes it as "long non-coding RNA (EGUI_LNC060617)". The record is from RNAcentral. Lineage: Eukaryota; Viridiplantae; Streptophyta; Magnoliopsida; Arecales; Arecaceae.
UUUUUAUAGACGGAGAGCGUAACUAAUUGACAGCGACGUUUGUAACUGCCUGGUAGUGGGCCAUUCGGGGUCAUGCGGAGUUUGUUACGGAGAGUAGUGGCGUCAGGGGGCCGUUCAGGGCCACGUAGAGUUUGUUAUGGAGAGUGGCGUAGUGUCCAUUAUCGCAACUUGCCAGAAAGUGGUGGAGCCAUGUGGAAUCUGUUACAGAGAGUGGAGUAGGGUAGUGGCCAUUGUCGUGACUUGCCAGAGAGUUCGGGCCUGACGGUUGAAGUUCGAUUGGGACGUCUGAUGGAGUGGAAUGGCUCUCUGUUUCAGCAAUCUAGAAGAAACUCAGAUAUUUUCGAGGUUGCUGACGAGUCUACUAUUGUUGGAUGCCUUGGGCGCUGAUACUAUAGGUGGGAGUCAUCUGCUGUAGAAGCUUGAAUGGAGACUUUCUGUUGGUGAAGUCCGAUAGAAGUCCGAUUGCCAGAGAAGUUCGUCUGAGAUUUGCCUGAUGUGAAAGCUCGUCU